This is a small nucleolar RNA of Rattus norvegicus (Norway rat), 74 nucleotides long. Ensembl annotates it as small nucleolar RNA, C/D box 113 like 3. Its record names the gene Snord113l3. The record is from Ensembl. Lineage: Eukaryota; Metazoa; Chordata; Mammalia; Rodentia; Muridae.
CGGGCCAAUGAUGACAAGGUUUCGGGAUUAUUAGUCACAGACGAUGACUACAUCUCUAGCAGUCUGAGGUCCAC